CGGAGAAGGCACGAAGAGCUCAAAGCUUUUGGUGGUGGGGUGGGGUGGAGGGUGGCUCCGAUCCAUCGUGCGACCUCGUCAUCGCCCUCGCGGGAGCCGCUUUUUCUCACGCCGUGAUCGGAGAAUCCAAAUCGGGUUCUCUCGCUUGGCUCCCAUCUUCCUGGAAGGGCACGGAAUCGCCAAAAUCGUGCAGCAGGGACACAAUGUUGGACACAAAUGCAGGCCACAUGUUCCUGCAAAGUAUCUAGUCAGGCUGAAAUAUCAAAAUGAUGUACGCAACCAGUGGUAGACUAUUCUUCAUUAAUAUGUAAAUUAUGGGCAAUAUGUAAAUUCAUUAAUAUUACUUAUUGUGCACCAUUUUAGUACUCCAGCCUGGUUCUCUAGUAUCUGAAACUUGCCUCGCCAAAUAUGUUACUGAUAUAUCACAAUGGUAGCAUUUUGCACUGAUGGAUUUUUUUUCUCCCCCCCUAAAUUGUUAUGGUUCUUGCAUUGGUAAACUUAAAUUGAUCCAUUGUGAUGGUUUUAAAUAUGACUGACUAAUCGCAAUCAUGGGAGGUGUUGGCUAACUUAGUUAAUAA
Long non-coding RNA from Musa acuminata AAA Group (dessert banana), 578 nucleotides. RefSeq lists it as uncharacterized. Lineage: Eukaryota; Viridiplantae; Streptophyta; Magnoliopsida; Zingiberales; Musaceae. The transcript is spliced from 3 exons. The record is from RefSeq and is a predicted model, not a curated record.